Molecule: unclassified non-coding RNA, 390 nt
Filed under: soil metagenome
Description: partial contains 5.8S ribosomal RNA, internal transcribed spacer 2, and large subunit ribosomal RNA
Rfam family: 5.8S ribosomal RNA (bases 1-122)
Source: RNAcentral
GAUGAAGAACGUAGUGAAAUGCGAUACUUGGUGUGAAUUGCAGAAUCCCGUGAACCAUCGAGUCUUUGAACGCAAGUUGCGCCCGAAGCCACUAGGCCGAGGGCACGCCUGCCUGGGCGUCACACGCCGUUGCCCCCCCAUCUACUCCUUCGGGAUUGCGGGGGGGCGGAUGAUGGCCUCCCGUGCGCCUAGCCGCGCGGUUGGCAUAAAUACCAAGUCCUCGGCGACGCACGCCACGACAAUCGGUGGUUGCGAAACCUCGGUUGCCCGUCGUGUGCGUUCGUCGCGCAUCGAGGGCUCGAAAAAAUGCUCGGCUCCGGCUGGGCUUUCAACGCGACCCCAGGUCAGGCGGGGUUACCCGCUGAAUUUAAGCAUAUCAAUAAGCGAGGA